GGGAGGUAAAUUUCUUCUAAAGCUAAAUACUGGCCAGAGACCGAUAGCGCACAAGUAGAGUGAUCGAAAGAUGAAAAGCACUUUGGAAAGAGAGUCAAACAGCACGUGAAAUUGUUGAAAGGGAAGCGCUUGCAGCCAGACUUGCCUGCGGUUGCUCAGCCGGGCCUCGUGCCCGGUGCACUCUUCCGCGGGCAGGCCAGCAUCAAUUUGGGCGGCUGGAGAAUGGCCUCUGUCACGUACUACCCUUCGGGGUAGCCUUAUAGGGGAGUCGUCAUGCAGUCAGCCUGGAUUGAGGACCGCGCUUCGGCGAGGAUGCUGGCGUAAUGGCCGCAAGCGGCCCGUCUUGAAACACGGAC
This 356-nucleotide small RNA is filed under the name Falciformispora senegalensis. RNAcentral's name for it is "eukaryotic LSU rRNA". It matches the Rfam family "Eukaryotic large subunit ribosomal RNA", at positions 294 to 666 of the family's 3401-position model. The record is from RNAcentral. Lineage: Eukaryota; Fungi; Ascomycota; Dothideomycetes; Pleosporales; Trematosphaeriaceae.